AGGCGGGAGCUUUUGGGGGCGGAGGAAGCGGGUUGGGGCCGGCGGAGUGGCAGGGUAACAAGAUGGCGGCGGAGACGGUGGAGCUUCAUAAAUUGAAGCUUGCGGAACUAAAGCAAGAAUGUCUUGCACGUGGUUUAGAGACCAAAGGAAUAAAACAAGAUCUUAUCAACAGGCUUCAGGCAUAUCUUGAAGAGCAUGCCGAAGAGGAGGCAAAUGAAGAAGAUGUACUGGGAGAUGAAACAGAGGAAGAAGAAACAAAGCCCAUAGAACUGCCUGUCAAAGAGGAAGAACCCCCUGAAAAAACUGUUGAUGUGGCAGCAGAGAAGAAAGUGGUAAAAAUUACAUCUGAGAUGCCACAGACUGAGAGAAUGCAAAAGAGGGCUGAACGAUUCAAUGUACCUGUGAGCUUGGAAAGUAAGAAAGCUGCUCGGGCAGCUAGGUUUGGGAUUUCUUCAGUUCCAACAAAAGGUCUGUCAUCUGACACCAAGCCUAUGGUUAAUCUGGAUAAGCUAAAGGAAAGAGCACAAAGAUUUGGCUUGAAUGUCUCUUCAAUCUCUAGAAAGUCUGAAGAUGAUGAGAAGCUGAAAAAGAGGAAGGAGCGAUUUGGGAUUGUCACAAGUUCAGCUGGAACUGGAACCACAGAGGAUACAGAGGCAAAGAAGAGGAAAAGAGCAGAGCGCUUUGGGAUUGCAUGAUGAAAAGUUCUUGAUGCUUUUUCUUCUUCGGUGGUUUCCAUUUCUGCUUCUUCUUGGUUACAUAUAUACCUAAGUGCACGGUCACAUGCCUACGUCCUGCCUUGAAAUGAGGGAGCAUGUACCCCAGGUUCAAGUGCUGGAUUGUGUCAUGUGACCAUCCCAAAACUCAGAGCACCCUAAGGCCAUCUUUGCCCUCUGUCACAUAACUUGAAAACUGCCUGAUGGCCUUUUUGCAAUGUUUCCUUCCAGGAAGCCUUGAUUUCAAUGAAGAAGUCCUUUCCCGGCAUUCCAGUGCCCUGUCAGCCCCAUUCCUCAGACACUCUUUAACAAACAAAGGCAAUCACACACAUGGUGUAACAAAUACACAAAGUAAAUAAUCACACUAAUAUGUUCAGAGGGGCACUGGCCAGGUUCACACAAAUAAGGUGGGGGAGGGUUGCUCCCACUGGGUUGCUAGGCUGUGUCCCCAAACCUCUUUAUCCCAUGCUUUUUGGGGAUAGGGAAGAACAGCGGACUGAGACUUCAACUCAUAGGCUUAUAUUCAUAAAAGAAACUCCCCCUCCUCUCUCACAACGAUCUUUAUUUGGUGGUACUCAAGGGGCAAUACUUUUAAGUGUUCCCCAAGUUUAGUGCCCCUAGGCUCUGUAAAGUUACCUGAUGCUUAUGCCCAACCUCUACCCUGCCCCAAGAUCAAGAGAUACUUGACCUUGGGGGAAUCAUCUUCACUCUCCUGCCCCUCUCCUUCCGUCAAGGAAAUGUGAAUGGUAUUGAUCAUCAGGUGUCUUAUUCUCCAUUGAGGCAGAAAGGAUGAAGAACAGGGCCAGAAAGGAGAGGCUUGGGGUUGACAUAGCUGCUCUAUGGGAGGUUAGUUGAAAAGCUUAACAGCUCCUUCUUAUUCCUCUACGGAAACACCUCGUCUCAUUGUCUCACUAUGAGAAUAGGAGUAAGACACUCAAGCUCACCAACAUUACUUUCCCAGGCUGGCCACGUACCUUUG
This is an RNA transcript of Fukomys damarensis (Damara mole-rat), 1692 nucleotides long. It is a transcript of the gene named SAP domain containing ribonucleoprotein, with no coding region annotated. The record is from RefSeq and is a predicted model, not a curated record. Lineage: Eukaryota; Metazoa; Chordata; Mammalia; Rodentia; Bathyergidae. The transcript is spliced from 12 exons.